UACGUAGGGGGCUAGCGUUAUCCGGAAUUACUGGGCGUAAAGGGUGCGUAGGUGGUUUCUUAAGUCAGAGGUGAAAGGCUACGGCUCAACCGUAGUAAGCCUUUGAAACUGGGAAACUUGAGUGCAGGAGAGGAGAGUGGAAUUCCUGGUGUAGCGGUGAAAUGCGUAGAUAUCAGGAGGAACACCGGUGGCGAAGGCGGCUCCCUGGCGUAAGACUGACGCUGAGGUGCGAAAGCGUGGGGAGCGAACGGG
This 252-nucleotide ribosomal RNA is filed under the name uncultured bacterium. Its description in RNAcentral is "partial 16S ribosomal RNA". It matches the Rfam family "Bacterial small subunit ribosomal RNA", at positions 524 to 776 of the family's 1533-position model. The record is from RNAcentral.